CUGGCUCAGGAUGAACGCUAGCUACAGGCUUAACACAUGCAAGUCGAGGGGCAGCAUUGGAGUAGCAAUACUCAGAUGGCGACCGGCGCACGGGUGAGUAACACGUAUCCAACCUGCCGCUUACUCGGGGAUAGCCUUUCGAAAGAAAGAUUAAUACCCGAUGGUAUAAAGAGUUCGCAUGUUCUCUUUAUUAAAGAAUUUCGGUAAGCGAUGGGAUGCGUUCCAUUAGAUAGUUGGCGGGGUAACGGCCCACCAAGUCUACGAUGGAUAGGGGUUCUGAGAGGAAGGUCCCCCACAUUGGAACUGAGACACGGUCCAAACUCCUACGGGAGGCAGCAGUGAGGAAUAUUGGUCAAUGGACGAGAGUCUGAACCAGCCAAAAGUAGCGUGAAGGAUGACUGCCCUAUGGGUUGUAAACUUCUUUUAUAAGGGAAUAAAGUGAGGGACGUGUCCCUUUUUGUAUGUACCUUAUGAAUAAGGAUCGGCUAACUCCGUGCCAGCCGCCGC
Molecule: ribosomal RNA, 507 nt
Filed under: uncultured bacterium
Lineage: Bacteria
Description: bacterial SSU rRNA
Rfam family: Bacterial small subunit ribosomal RNA
Source: RNAcentral